ACCUACGGGGGGCAGCAGUGGGGGAUAUUGGACAAUGGGGGGAACCCUGACCCAGCGACGCCGCGUGAGUGAAGAAGUAUUUCAGUAUGUAAAGCUCUAUCAGCAGGGAAGAAAGCAAUGACGGUACCUGACCAAGAAGCCCCGGCUAACUACGUGCCAGCAGCCGCGGUAAUACGUAGGGGGCAAGCGUUAUCCGGAAUUACUGGGUGUAAAGGGAGCGUAGACGGCUGUGCAAGUCUGGAGUGAAAGGCGGGG
RNAcentral lists this ribosomal RNA (255 nucleotides) under uncultured bacterium. RNAcentral describes it as "partial 16S ribosomal RNA". It matches the Rfam family "Bacterial small subunit ribosomal RNA", at positions 337 to 606 of the family's 1533-position model. The record is from RNAcentral.